UAAAUUAGAUGUAUUGCAUGCC
RNAcentral lists this non-coding RNA (22 nucleotides) under Arabidopsis thaliana (thale cress). Lineage: Eukaryota; Viridiplantae; Streptophyta; Magnoliopsida; Brassicales; Brassicaceae. The record is from RNAcentral.